AACGAACGCUGGCGGCAGGCUUAACACAUGCAAGUCGAGCGAAGACUUCGGUCCUAGCGGCGGACGGGUGAGUAACGCGUGGGAACGUGCCCUUUGCUACGGAAUAGCCCUGGGAAACUGGGAGUAAUACCGUAUGUGCCCUUCGGGGGAAAGAUUUAUCGGCAAAGGAUCGGCCCGCGUUGGAUUAGGUAGUUGGUGGGGUAAUGGCCUACCAAGCCGACGAUCCAUAGCUGGUUUGAGAGGAUGAUCAGCCACACUGGGACUGAGACACGGCCCAGACUCCUACGGGAGGCAGCAGUGGGGAAUCUUAGACAAUGGGGGAAACCCUGAUCUAGCCAUGCCGCGUGAGCGAUGAAGGCCUUAGGGUUGUAAAGCUCUUUCAGUGGGGAAGAUAAUGACGGUACCCACAGAAGAAGCCCCGGCUAACUCCGUGCCAGCCGCCGCAGUA
This 448-nucleotide ribosomal RNA is filed under the name uncultured bacterium. RNAcentral describes it as "bacterial SSU rRNA". It matches the Rfam family "Bacterial small subunit ribosomal RNA", at positions 29 to 522 of the family's 1533-position model. The record is from RNAcentral.